UACGUCGACCAGGACUGCUGCAGCAGAGACGGCAUGUCGAAGACAGCUGCCUUGUUUCAUGAGUGGGGCAACCUCGUAAUCUGUCUGGACAUCUGGCACUACAUGCAACGUAUCGCAGGUGGUGUCACAACUCACUCUCCUCCUCCUCAGACUCUGAGGACAAGGUCAAAGGUCCUGAUGGCCAGCCGGGAUAUCAGCACGUCCUGAAGCUGGCCCAGGCCUUGGUGGAGGUGAGGAGCCUGAACGGGCUUAGCGAGUCCAGGAUAGACCGUCUCAUUGCGCUCUGGCAGCGCCUGCCGGAGCCAGACAAGCAGAGACUGAUCUAACCUUCCAGGUACCAGGGGAGGAAAGUCAAGGGGUGCUUCAAGGCAGCGAAGGGGAAAACCGUCCCCCAUCCUGGCAGGCAGAGCCUCCAGCGCUGCAUCCUUGGAGUCAACUCAGGCCCAGCAAACCGGACACCAGCCGCCUGGUAGAGGCCAUUUGCAGCCAUCCGUAUCAGGGUUAUCAUGAGGAGUCGAUGGUCCCUCAUCCACAGUGACUACGUGGCGAUACGGGAGACAGUGCUGGCAUGCCCGAGAAUGAUGGCUCAGACCACCAUCUAACUCUUUGAGCUGAACCAAAGGACCAUCUCCCAGUGGUGAGAGCCGUUUGACUGACAUAAAGUAUUUUCA
Molecule: long non-coding RNA, 671 nt
Organism: Cyprinodon variegatus (sheepshead minnow)
Lineage: Eukaryota; Metazoa; Chordata; Actinopteri; Cyprinodontiformes; Cyprinodontidae
Exons: 4
Source: RefSeq, a predicted model, not a curated record